GCAUUCAUUUUGCAGCACAUAUAAUAAAAUUGUGAAGAUACAGAGAAGAAUAGCAUGACCUCUGAACAAAGAUGCCCUGCAAAUCUGUGAAGCAUCAAAUAUUUAA
This is a small nuclear RNA of Apodemus sylvaticus (European woodmouse), 106 nucleotides long. The record is from RefSeq and is a predicted model, not a curated record. NCBI's taxonomy places the organism in Eukaryota, Metazoa, Chordata, Mammalia, Rodentia, Muridae.